CGUUUGAAAACAGAAGGGGCGAAAGGCAGCCUUCUGGCAUUAAUACUGACACUGAGGCUCGAAAGCGUGGGUAGCAAAUAGCGAAUUAAAAUACCCUGGUAGUCCACGCCGUAAACGAUGUCUACUAGUCGUUGGGUCCCUUGAGGACUUAGUGACGCAGCUAACGCAAUAAGUAGACCGCCUGGGGAGUACGGCCGCAAGGUUAAAACUCAAAUGAAUUGACGGGGGCCCGCACAAGCGGUGGAGCAUGUGGUUUAAUUCGAUGCAACGCGAAGAACCUUACCUGGUCUUGACAUAUCUAGAAUCCUGCAGAGAUGCGGGAGUGCCUUCGGGAAUUAGAAUACAGGUGCUGCAUGGCUGUCGUCAGCUCGUGUCGUGAGAUGUUGGGUUAAGUCCCGCAACGAGCGCAACCCUUGUCCUUAGUUACCAGCGGGUUAAGCCGGGAACUCUAAGGAUACUGCCAGUGACAAACUGGAGGAAGGCGGGGACGACGUCAAGUCAUCAUGGCCCUUACGACCAGGGCUACACACGUGCUACAAUGGUAGGUACAGAGGGCAGCUACACAGCGAUGUGAUGCGAAUCUCAAAAAGCCUAUCGUAGUCCAGAUUUGGAGUCUUGCAACUCGACUCCCAUGAAGUAGGAAUCGCUAGUAAUCCGCGGAUCAGAAAUGCCGCGGUGAAUACGUUUCCCGGGCCUUGUACACACCCGCCCGUCACACCAUGGGGAGUUUGAUUGCACCAAAAGUGGAUAAGCUUUAACCCUUUCG
This 766-nucleotide ribosomal RNA is filed under the name uncultured Psychrobacter sp. RNAcentral describes it as "bacterial SSU rRNA". It matches the Rfam family "Bacterial small subunit ribosomal RNA", at positions 697 to 1448 of the family's 1533-position model. The record is from RNAcentral. Lineage: Bacteria; Pseudomonadati; Pseudomonadota; Gammaproteobacteria; Moraxellales; Moraxellaceae.